GAAAAAUCUGGGCUCAACCCAGUGGAGCACUCGAUACUGCGGUGACUAGAGUCCGGUAGGGGAGUGUGGAAUUCCUGGUGUAGCGGUGUAAAUGCGCAGAUAUCAGGAGGAACACCGACGGCGAAGGCAGCACUCUGGGCCGGUACUGACGCUGAGGAGCGAAAGCGUGGGGAGCAAACAGGAUUAGAUACCCUGGUAGUCCACGCCCUAAAACGAUGUCUACUAGUUGUUGGGGUAGCAAUACCUCAGUGACGCAGCUAACGCGUGAAGUAGACCGCCUGGGGAGUACGGUCGCAAGAUUAAAACUCAAAGGAAUUGACGGGGCCCGCACAAGCGGUGGAUUAUGUGGAUUAAUUCGAUGCAACGCGAAAAAACCUUACCUGGCCUUGACAUGCCACUAACGAAGCAGAGAUGC
RNAcentral lists this ribosomal RNA (415 nucleotides) under uncultured bacterium. Its description in RNAcentral is "bacterial SSU rRNA". It matches the Rfam family "Bacterial small subunit ribosomal RNA", at positions 596 to 1009 of the family's 1533-position model. The record is from RNAcentral.